GGAAUUGCUAGUAAUCGCGGAUCAGCAAGCCGCGGUGAAUACGUUCCCGGGCCUUGUACACACCGCCCGUCACACCAUGAGAGUCGGGAACACCCGAAGUCCGUAGUCUAACCGCAAGGGGGGCGCGGCCGAAGGUGGGUCCGGUAAUUGGGGUGAAGUCGUAACAAGGUAUC
This 173-nucleotide ribosomal RNA is filed under the name uncultured bacterium. Its description in RNAcentral is "partial 16S ribosomal RNA". It matches the Rfam family "Bacterial small subunit ribosomal RNA", at positions 1328 to 1500 of the family's 1533-position model. The record is from RNAcentral.